RNAcentral lists this ribosomal RNA (253 nucleotides) under uncultured bacterium. Its description in RNAcentral is "partial 16S ribosomal RNA". It matches the Rfam family "Bacterial small subunit ribosomal RNA", at positions 524 to 776 of the family's 1533-position model. The record is from RNAcentral.
UACGUAGGGGGCAAGCGUUGUCCGGAAUUAUUGGGCGUAAAGAGCUCGUAGGCGGCCUGUUGCGUCCGCUGUGAAAGCCCGGGGCUUAACCCCGGGUCGGCAGUGGAUACGGGCAGGCUAGAGGUAGGUAGGGGAGAAUGGAAUUCCCGGUGUAGCGGUGAAAUGCGCAGAUAUCGGGAGGAACACCGGUGGCGAAGGCGGUUCUCUGGGCCUUACCUGACGCUGAGGAGCGAAAGCGUGGGGAGCGAACAGG